Molecule: ribosomal RNA, 271 nt
Filed under: uncultured bacterium
Lineage: Bacteria
Description: partial 16S ribosomal RNA
Rfam family: Bacterial small subunit ribosomal RNA
Source: RNAcentral
UAUUAUUUUAGCGGCGGACGGGUGAGUAACGUGUGGGUAACCUGCCUUUUACUGGGGAAUAACCACUGGAAACGGUGACUAAUACCGCAUACGGUUCUUGGAAGGCAUCUUCUAAGAAAGAAAGGAUUUAUUCGGUAAAAGAUGGGCCCGCAUCUGAUUAGCUAGUUGGUGAGAUAACAGCCCACCAAGGCGACGAUCAGUAGCCGACCUGAGAGGGUGACCGGCCACAUUGGGACUGAGACACGGCCCAAACUCCUACGGGAGGCAGCAG